UACCCCACAUCCAAAGACAAAGGAGAAGCCACAGUGAGACGGUUUUUCUGCUGAGCUACCACAAUGUAGUAUGUUUCUAGACCUAACUCCACAUGAAGGACAGGCCUGGAUUAAACAAGAAUGGCUACUUAUUUUACAGCUGGAAAACUGAGCAUGUCUGGUGAGGAAGGCAAAAAGAAGAAUCAACAGCAGAGGCAAACUGGAACAAGGAGAGGAACGGACUUAAGAAUCAGAGACUCUUAAGAGUAUGGUAUAAAUUGUUACCUUUAGAGAAGUCAUUUAAUUUUAUUCACAUUCAGUCUAGAACAUUUAUUUUUCUCAAUUCAAAAUUGAGAUUAUAAUCAAAAGAAAACUGGACUGAGGUCACUUAAAAUAAAAAAUUCUAUUUCCUACUGGGCUAAGUACAAACUUGUUAGCUUGGCCUUUAAGGUAUUUGACAAAUAUGGCCCUGGUCUCCUUUUCAACUUUAAUCCACUAUUUCCCUAUGUAUACUGUUUAAGAUAACAGUAAACUAUUAGCAAACUAUUGCACAGAACUCUCUUAACCAAUUUAACUGAUCACACAUUAGCUAGGCUAUUCUCCAGUAUCAUGGGAGCAACAUUUCUGCUCUCCCUCUCAGUGAAAUUAUGUGCUUAUUGAGGGUAUCAGUUGUGUUUAUUCACAAAACAAUUUAUGCCAAUUGUGUUUAUUAUUCUAAAUAUAUAAUUUAAUAAAGUAUUACAUAAAGCAAUGAAGUAUAAGUGAGAAGAGGAAAACAACAGCAGCAGCUAAUAUUAACUGAGUACUUACUGCCUGCCAGGCACUGUUCUAAGUGUUUUAUGUGAAUUGACUCAUAUAAUCUUCAUAAGAACCUUGGGAACUAGAUACUAUUAUUGUCCCUAUUUCACAAAAGAGGAGACUGAACAACAUGCCCAAGGCCUAUACAACUCAAAAAUGGCAAAACAAUUUGGCUCCAGAGCUUUAACUACUAUGCUAUACAAGUUGAAAGCUUAGGAAAGACUAGAUAAAGAUACACAUAACUAUGCUCCACUCUACCUUGUAUGUGAAAGUAGCCACAGAUAAUACAUAAACAAGUGAGCAAGGCUGUGUUCCAAUAAAACUUUAUUUACAGAAACAGGCAGCAGGCUAGGACAAGAUUUAGCCCUCACACUGUAGUUUGGAGAUCCCUGAGACCCACACUCCAAGAAAAGGCUUAUGUCAAAAGAAUGGCAAAAAGAUGUUUUAAGUUUUAAGUUAAAAUAAAAUGUUUAAGAUCUACAGGUAACUAAUAUCUGUAUGAUU
Non-coding RNA from Delphinapterus leucas (beluga whale), 1281 nucleotides. NCBI's taxonomy places the organism in Eukaryota, Metazoa, Chordata, Mammalia, Artiodactyla, Monodontidae. The record is from RefSeq and is a predicted model, not a curated record.